This 254-nucleotide ribosomal RNA is filed under the name uncultured bacterium. Its description in RNAcentral is "partial 16S ribosomal RNA". It matches the Rfam family "Bacterial small subunit ribosomal RNA", at positions 524 to 776 of the family's 1533-position model. The record is from RNAcentral.
UACGUAGGGGUCCGAGCGUUGUCCGGAAUUACUGGGCGUAAAGCGCGCGCAGGCGGCCCGCGAGGUGUCACGUGAAAGCCCCGGGCUCAACCCGGGAGGGUCGUGGCAAACCGGCGGGCUUGAGGCCGGUAGAGGUGGGUGGAACUCCUGGUGGAGUGGUGAAAUGCGUAGAGAUCAGGAAGAACACCCGUGGCGAAGGCGGCCCACUGGGCCGGUACUGACGCUGAGGCGCGAAGGCGUGGGGAGCGAACGGG